RNAcentral lists this ribosomal RNA (475 nucleotides) under uncultured bacterium. Its description in RNAcentral is "SSU rRNA". It matches the Rfam family "Bacterial small subunit ribosomal RNA", at positions 26 to 518 of the family's 1533-position model. The record is from RNAcentral.
AGGACGAACGCUGGCGGCGUGCUUAACACAUGCAAGUCGAGCGAGGCCCUCUCUUCGGAGAGGUGCCCUAGCGGCGAACGGGUGAGUAACACGUGGGCAACCUGCCCCUAGCACUGGGAUAAGCCCGGGAAACCGGGUCUAAUACCGGAUAUGACCUUCAAGGGCAUCCUCGAAGGUGUAAAGGAUUCUGGCUAGGGAUGGGCCCGCGGCCUAUCAGCUUGUUGGUGGGGUAACGGCCCACCAAGGCAACGACGGGUAGCCGGCCUGAGAGGGCGACCGGCCACACUGGGACUGAGACACGGCCCAGACUCCUACGGGAGGCAGCAGUGGGGAAUAUUGCACAAUGGGCGAAAGCCUGAUGCAGCGACGCCGCGUGAGGGAUGACGGCCUCGGUUGUAACCUCUUUCAGCUCCGACGAAGCGAAAGUGACGGUAGGAGCAGAAGAAGCACCGGCCAACUACGUGCACGCAGCCGC